AAUAAUGUUAUUUUUGAUAAUGGAGUUACAAUACUUUCAAGUUCUCAGCUUGAAAAUACAGAAAGAUUGCAUUAUAUAUGAUAAAAAAAUACGAUACGAAAAUAUCAUAUUUGUUUAUAACGUAAUGAGCCAGAUAUAUUGGUCGUAGUGAGAAAUUAGAGACCGUAAUAAGAGUCUUUUAACUUUUCGAUGUUUUAUAUAGAUUUUGGUAUCUUAAUGAUCUACAUUAUUAAACAUGAUUUAUGAUAUCUGAAUCUUAUAAAAAUAAUUUUUAUAAUUAAUUUUUCGAUAUUAUUUACAUAAUGACUAUCA
This 312-nucleotide long non-coding RNA is filed under the name Ananas comosus (pineapple). Its description in RNAcentral is "long non-coding RNA (ACOM_LNC038903)". Lineage: Eukaryota; Viridiplantae; Streptophyta; Magnoliopsida; Poales; Bromeliaceae. The record is from RNAcentral.